GCCGAGACGCUCGUCAAGACGCUCUACAAGUCUGGCAAGCAGGCCCUGCCAUGGCAACACACGCCUGCCAAGAACCCCGAGGCCCCGCCGCCGGCCGAGGUCAGCAGCAACGAUGCUGCUGCGGCGGCGGACAAGAACCCGGCGGAGCCUGUGAAGGAGCCGCAGGCCGACGACAGCUCGGACAGGACGCCGGAGCAGGAGGAGACGGCCCCGGACAAGACGCCUGAGACGGAGAAGGAAGCAGAGUCUGAGAAGAAGGAGGAUGAGAAAGAGGAGGCGAAAGCCACGAAACCAAGCGCUGAGGCAAAGAAAGACGGCGGCGACGGCGAGGGCCCGGCGGCCGAGCCCAAAGCAAAGGAGGACACAAAGGUGGCCGGCAAUGACCAGGGCGAGGCCAAGGAGGAACAGAGCAAGCCUAAGGAUGCAGCUGCGGCGGACAGGUCCCUAUCUCCGGCGCCGACGCCCGCGCACCAGGAGUUCAGCCCGUACAACGCGCCGCAGCCGGUGACGAGCUACCACACGGCGCAUCCGGCAGCGAGCGUGUCCUACUACGCGCCGCAGCCGGAGCAGGGCUACUCCAUGCGGCAGCAGCCAUCGCAGCCGCAGCCCGGGUACUCCUCCCUCAUGCAGCCGCAGCACCCACCGCCGGCGCCGCAACAGCAAUGGUCGCCGUCGUACCUUUACAUGCCGUACCCGCACGCGUCGCUGGAGUCGUACUACCCGGAUUACUACAGCCCGCCCGGGACGCACACGCCACCGGCACCGCCACCUCCGCCGCCGCAACAGCAAUGGUCGCCGUCGUACCUUUACAUGCCGUACCCGCACGCGUCGCUGGAGUCGUACUACCCGGAUUACUACAGCCCGCCCGGGACGCACACGCCACCGGCACCGCCACCUCCGCCGCCGCUCCAGGACUCGUACCGCCUCUUCGACGACGAGAACCCCAACUCGUGCAGCGUCAUGUGAUUUCACCGAGACAUGGACACGUAUGGCGCGGCGUAGCUCCAGCUAGCCACCGGCGGCAGAGUAGCUAAGAAAAGGCGGCUUAAAGCUCUCCUUGACCAAUCCAUUUUUCCUCUUCUUCUUUAUUAUUGUUAUUAGUGUUCUAUAAACAGAGCAUGUAAUUGUAAUGAGAUAAGCCUUUACAUGUAGCAUAGCAUCAAUGAAAUCUUCCCUACUCCCUCCGUCACGGUUUAGAAGGCGUGCAUACAAAUUCUCUAGGACCUAAGUGGUUAUUGAUUGGCUCUGAAAUAAGUUAAAAAAUAGCAUUCACACUACGCAUGCAUAUAGAAGUAGUACAACGGAGUACUAAUUAGCUGCUAGGAGUAAAUGCAACGCGCCUUAAUCUUUGUCUAUUUUGGAAACGCAUGCAAGUCUAACUGUGCCUUCUAAACCGUAACGGAGGGAGUACCAUAGAUAGGAUUUUGCACAAUGUACUCCCUCUGUCCCAAAAUAAAUGACGCAAAUUUUAUACUUCUUCCGUCCCAAAAUUCUUGUCUUAUAUUUGUCUACAUAUGAAUGUAUCUAGUCACGUUUUAGUAUUUAGAUACAUUCAUUUCUAGACAAACUUACAAGAAUUUUAAGACGGAGGGAGUACUAAGUUAAUAUAAAUUUUGUACUAAAGCAGCGACACUUAUAUUGAGACGGAGGGAGUAAAACAUAACAUAAAUGUCGUCCUUUCCCAACCCAAUCAUAUCUAGAGGAUAUCCUUCUUUGAUUCUUCUCGCCUACUCAUGAAUAGCCUCGACACCAUAUGCAUGGGACCUUAUCGAAAAAUGAUUUUUUUUCACUUUCGUAUUACAAAGCAAGCAACACCGAUACAUAAAUCGCUCGAACGAACAUCACAACAAACCCAAAAGAAAAAGAAGAAGAAACAAAUGCCAACAGCGGCAGCACGUCAAAGUGCGCCCACCGGAAACAAACCACCAUACGAGGCUAUGAUCCUCCGUGUACCAAGCAGCACCUCCAAGAAGGAAUGUGACGCCGACGACGCUGCUGCCCGGACGGAUCCUAGGGUUUCCCCCGGCACGCGGAGGGCUGAUGGGGAUGGAUACCACCGACACCCUCCAGGAAGGAAUGGUGGCACCCGCACGCGUCACCGCAUCGGAGCCGAAGACCGGCAAGGAUUUCUCCCGUACUCCCGACCCCGCCGCCCAACCGAACUGGGGCCGACCAGUCAAACCUCCGCCCACCACCAUGCUACAUCUCGGUUGCACCACCACCCACGUCGCCUCACUGCGAACACCACGACGAGGCCAAGAGAACCGACGAGAGGCACCAAACGGCGGAAGCAACGGCACCGUUACUGAGCAGGAGGGAACCACCUCCAACACCGACGAGCAGGAGGCCCGAGCCCCCGACAUCGUCACGGUCGCCGUCCAGACGCGGCAGCGGGGCACACCAGACCACCCCUGGCCCGGCCAGGCCCGAACAGGCCCGCUAAGCCCCGUAGGCCACACUACAGCAAUUCGGCAUCCGCACCACCAGUUCCCAGCCGCUCGACGCCGCACCCCGCCUCCUGGAGGUCGUGCCAUGGACCCACCCUGCUUCCGGCCCGCCCGGACCCAGAUGGGGCUCGAAGGGCCCAGAUCUAGGCCGAUCGGGCCCGCAAGGCGGCGCCGCCGCACUACCCGGCUGCCAACGGCGACACCACUGUCCAACCGCCGCGCUACCCCGCCGCCAACAGCGCGAGUACCCCGCCGCCACGCCGCCGCCUAGCGACACCCCCCGGCCUGCUCCGUCCGGCGCUAGAUAAACCCGAAAGGGGAAUGACGAAGGGCCGCCGUCGCCAGCGUCGCCCGGGCCAGGCCCGACGGCGAGCGCCGACGAUGGUGGCGGGGGAGGAGGGAGGGAGGUGGGAGCUGGAGGAGGAAGGUUUGGGGACGCGAACGAUCGCCCGUGGGGGCGACGCGGUCGCAAGAGCUCUACUUCCUUCACCAACGUCGUUUUAUCAUGCAUGGGACCUUAGAGCAUCUAUAGCCAGAUUUAGAAAUGUGACUGUUAUGAGCCCCUAUUUGUUUGUCUAUGUAAUCACUAUUUAUAUUUUCUUUCUCAUAUGUCAUGUCUCUUACACGUGAUUGAUGAAGAUGAAAGAAAAAAAAAGAAUAAGAAAAACGAGUACAGAAAGAGAACAUGUGCUGAGGGGUGAGCCAUGUCCUAUAUGGUAGAUUGAUUGAAUACGUUUGGACUUGUCCGUGAGCCCUCCUAUUCUUUCUUCAUUUGUCUUUGGGACGAGGGUUUAUGGAUAACCUAAACGUAUAAGAAUAAUAUGAGCGAUCCCGUUAGCUGACUUUCCUUCUCUCUUCUGUCUGGUCGAUGCUUCCGUGGAUAUUUGAGAAGAUAUGAGAAUACCUAUUGUAGAUGCUCUUACCUAAGCCGCUGUCCAUAGAUUUACUCUUUAGAUGAUUCUAGUUGUCCGCAUGCCAUAAUUUACUUAACUGAUAAGGCCCAAUGAUCACCUCUCCUUUUUGCAACCGAUGAUGUGAGGACGAUGAUAAUCUUAGUUGUUUAGUGUGAUAGCUCAGAAGUUAAAUUUAAGCUCGUGAUUGGGGUGCACUAACGGAAUAACCAACUAUGCCAACGGCCCAAGCCGUCAGCAUAGGUCCAAAAACCGUCGGGAUAGGCCUACAUCGAUGAUGGCCGUCGGCAUAGCCUCGUCGGCAACUUGUACGUCGGCGCACCCAAAGUCGCCUGUCAGCAUAGCUUUUUAUAUCAACGACACCCAUACAACCGUCGGUAUAAAUACACCGUCAGUAAAUUUCUACACUCACGGCCAUUGACGGUGUUGUCGUCAAGUUGGCGCCUAUCAUAUCGUGCCACGUGGCAGCUGCUAGUAGCUCCUGGUGCACGUCAAUGCCGACGGCACAUAACCGUCGAAAUAGUGUUAGAUUUAUGCCGACGGCCUAAACCAUCGGUAUAGUGGUGCACCGGGACUGCCCAGUCGUCGCCAUGUGGCGGCCAUUGGUAGCACGGCGCCAUCAAUGCUGACGGUUAGGUCGUAGGCAUAUACUCUAUGCCGACGGCAAAACCAUCGGCAUAGCUUGGAACACGUAUGAGAAAAAAAUGGUUGCCCGACAGCCGGUGAGCCCAGUCAGCCAGCGAGCCCAUGCCAGUCAGCCGGCAAGCAUGGACAGCCAUGUGCAGGUUGCUGUUGCAGUAUGUCAAAAUAACUUUGCAAUAGCAUUGGUCGCCGUCGUACCUUUACAUGUCGUACCCACAUGCAUUGUCGGAGUCUUACUACUACAACGCUCCAGGGAUGCACGCGUUGCCCCCGCCGCCACUCCAGGACUCGUACCACCUCUUCGACGACGAGAACCAUAACUCGUGUAGCGUCAUGUGAUUUCAUCGACACGUGUGGCACGACGCGGCUCCAGAUAGCCACCGGCAGCAAAGUAGCUACGAAGGUUGGGAGGCCAAAGCUCUCCUUACCAAUCCAUUUUUCCUCUUCUUCUUUCUUUGUCAUGUGACAACCCUUUACAUGUAGCAUAGCAUUAAUGAGAUCUUCCAUCCUUAGAUAUGUUUAUAAGCUAAAACAUAAGAGAAACAUAUAAAGAAUUAGAGAUACUCUCUCCAUUCACAUAUAUAGGGCCUAAUACAUUUCUCAAGAUUACUUUUCACCAUGAGUUAGCAAUAUACAAUAAGACAUGCAUGUUAAACAAACCAUACCAUCAAAUUCAUAUGUGAAAUGAAUUUCUAAUGAUGUAACUUUUAUAUCAUAUACUUAGAGCAUCUACAGUCGGAACACUCAAAUCCGGACCCUCGAAUGCCCACGGACACAUCCGGACGGUCCCUCAUAUUUCGCUCCAUGCAUCCAUAUACUUCACAUCCCGACUCUCAAAAUCAUACAAAGCCAUGAACGUCGAUCAUCUCAUAGUAAACAUCGCACAUAAAAUAAAUGUUGGUACCGAACAUAAAAUUGGUUUAGAUCAAUUUUAUUUGAACUGCACAAUCAAUCAUCUGCUCUUUGAUUUCCAUUAUGGUUCCACAUAUGGUCCAUCACAUCAUUGAGUAGUUGCAUGUGCACGUGAUGAUCUCAGAGAUUCUGAUGCAUCUGCAGAAAAUUUAUAAGAUGCAUUGCAUUUUGAUCUUCAGGGGUUUCAACUUGUACUCCAUGUGUUUCAAAAUCGUUGGUUUGGGCUACACCAUCAACCUCGUCCUCGACGAUCAUAUUGUGUAAAAUAGCAUAAUAUGUCAUUACCUGGCAUAAAGUUUCUUGUUCCCACAUCAUUGAAGCCCCACGAACAAUUACCCAAUGCGCUUGCAGCACUCCAAAAGCCCUGUCCACAUCCUAGCUAAUUCCUAGCUGAUUCAUGCAUUGUUGCGAAGUGCUUUUGUUUUCUGCCAUGUGGUUCGGAUAUGGCCUUCACAAAUGCAUCCCAUUGAGUAUAUAUGCCAUCGGCAAGAUAUAUAUUAUCCCAUGUUGUAGUCUUGACCGUUGACGGUGUAGUUGUAUGGAGGUGAUUCCCCGUUGCAAAGUCUCCUAAAUACCGGAGAUCGUUGAAGCACGUUGAUGUAUUUAUGAGAACCUGUCAUUCUAAAGAAAACACGUCAAAUCCAUAAGUCAUGUGAAGAUAGGCCCUCCGCCCGAGGUCGCCGCCCCAGCGCACCCAAGGCCCUCCACUCAGGUGACUAAGCAGCCGAGACCCCGCCGCCAUCCUCAAUGUCCACACGGGCUGGUCCGACGGCUGCCUCCUUCGAUGACGAGAGGGGAGGUGGAUGAGGACUGGCAGCGCGGGGGGAAACGGAGAAAACCUAAUCGCCCUCGGGUCGUCCGCAAGGAGCGACGCGGGCCAUAAUUUACUUAAUCAAUAAGGCCCAAUCAGCCCUCCUUUUUCCCACCUAUGAUUAUUUAGUGUGAUAGCUCAGCAGUUCAAUUUAAGACGGUGCUUUGGGUAAGGCCAAACUGGCCGGUUUGUUUCAAAGCUUUUGAAUAUUGGUAUUGUUAAAUUUAAGUCGACUGAGACUUAUCGAAGUCUCAAUCAAUGCUAUACUAAUAACAUCUUACGUGAACAUCUGUGUAAAUAAAAAAAAGAGAAAUUCUUCUUCUUUUUUAUAUGUUGUAUAACUUGAGUGAGACUUAGACUGAAAUGUAGUCACGCCGUUUUGAAUAUAGUUAAGCAAGGGGGUUGUGCUUCUCCACAUGUUAAUGUUAAUGAUUGGCCCCUGCAUGCUCAUCUUAGCUUAGGGAAUUAUUAUAAGCUAAGUAUGCUCAUUAAGCUAACCUGGUUUCAUUACUGUGGGUUGGCGAGCGCAUACAUAAUGGAAGAGUGGUGGACAAAUCAGUAGCACUGGCGUGGAAGCUAGUGGGCCUUCAGCUGUACCAGAUAGGAGUAAUGCUUUGCUUAGGCUGAUUGUAAUGGGUAGUAUCAUAUACUAGUAUCAUGCAUAUGAUACUAAUGUAUGAUACCAUAACCGUAAUGCAUAGUAUCAUGUGUUAGUAUCAUAGGAUGAUUUAUUUAUUAUCAUGCAAGACACAUAGUAGCACAACAUUUAAUAUAAUACGGUAUCAUGAUAUGAUACUCAACCAUCUCUUUCUCCAUUUAAUUCUAUGCCACCUCAUCGAAAUUGCCUAGUUGGUGUGCAUGAUACUACCUAUGAUACUCUCAUUACGGGCAGCCUUAGUUGUUUAUUACCCACUGAACAGCCCCUUAAAGCAUGGUUAAUAGUAUAGCCAACUGCUGGCUAUAAGCAGUCUUCUAGUCCAUCUUAUAGCUAGCUUGUACAAUAGUUAGCUAUAAAAGAGUACUACUUUUAUCAUAUAUGGCCCAUCUUUCAUUCUCACAAAGCACAUAUGAGCACGUGCUAGAGCUGGCUCUUCACGAAAAGCCCGCUUCCCUUCUCUCUCCUCUUCUCUUUCAUCCAACUCAGCAAAAGUAUAGUAUUUUAAUCCUUACAGCCUGCUGACUGUACCUUAUUGUACUUGCUCUUAGAUAAAAUAGCCAUUGGACAUGCAAAAAAAAUCUCACUAGGGACAAGAUAGAGGACUCCCCUCCCUUUCUGCACCACAGGUGAUGCACAUGGCAUGCCGAGCACCGAACGACGAAAGGUCCCUCGAAUUUGGCAAGUUUUGAUUGCCUACAGAUUUUAGCAUUUUAUGUUUGAAUAAAGAUGAAGAUCCUUAAUCAUGUUUUUACCUUGUAUUCCUGCACGGUUGUGCUCUCUAUGAAUUUUCUUACCUGGUUAUAUCAUCGUCAGAAACAAGCCAUGGACAACUGAGCAGCACUACAACACUUGCCCCCGUCACUCUCAUGUAGUACCACGUGUCACUGUGUCAGAUUGCUUGGGAUUUGGGACGAACAGGGCCGACCAAACGGGUCCGGCCAGCCCACGUCAAAUCCGUUCCCCAGGUAACUCGAAACAAGUGCUGGAAAAUGUUUGGAAGCAAUGCCAUUCUUUUUUGCACGCUCGAUCUGCAAAGUAUAGCCUUUUGAGUUAUCUUGAUCUUGGUUAGCAUGGUACUGAUCCAACCAAAGGAGGAAGAAGAAGAAGAAUAUACAACAGCUAGCAUCAUCAUCGUCGAAGGAAUUGGAGGUUUGGCAUUGUCUAACGACUGCUAGGUUCCCUCCAUGACUGUUAGUUGGCGCAUGCCUUUUCGAGGCUCCCAUGCCGUCCUCCUAGAACUAGAAAUAUGUACUAGGUUGAAAUCAUGAAACUUUCAUAAAGAUUUAUGGCGCCGGCAUUUCUCCAAGAAAGCAAUGUUUGGACCUACUUAGGUUUCAUCCACUCAAGGAAAUUUGAAAGAAAAAAAAAUGAAUCCAAAGUUGGAUCUAGGCCAAAAUUCACGUGAUAAUACCAAGUAACUUUCAUGAUUAAGUUUUAUAAUUUUUUGUGUCAGUCGGAGUUAUCUUGUCGACCAUGGUGUGCCAAACAUCACCCAAAAUAUGACCAACUCCCUCAGUACCAGUACAAAGAUGAAAAGCUACAGCUGACCAAACGCGAAAAGCACAUGGUUUUGGAGCUGUCAAGGGGAAGAGUUUUGAUGCGUAGGGACAUCGGCCAGAAUGCAUGAUUAGCCAUAUACUUAACCGGUUGGUCCCUCCCAAUGUACAUACUUGGCUUUCAGCAGGACCUUAUAUUUGUACUAAUUAACUAAAGCGUUGAUCACUCACAACUCUCUGGUCUGGAAAAAGCCAAAACCUCGCAAUCUGCUAGAAGGAAACCCGUGGCAUCCCUGUCGCGGACGCCGCGCACGGCAUUGUCUCUACAAUGUGGAGAACAUUUCCUUUAUUGUGAAUUGUUCGUAAUUUUGCUUUCAGAAUUAUUGGUGAUGCUGAUAACACCGUAACAAUAGAUAGUGCAUGUAACAUCGGGAUGAUCGGUCGACCAUGAUGUCCGAGCAGGAACUCUGAUUCAGACUAUUUAUAGUACUAGCAGAAAUGCUUCCAAUGGAGCUGAAUUGGCAGUUUUAUGCGUUGACAUGUCAGCAGAUUUGACCUGUACGUACCGGUUACACCUGAUGCUCCAUUUUCUGUGUAUCCUUUCCCUUAUAUUUAAGACCAACCUUUUAUGAAUGGAAGUGUACAAGUGCCAUUUUAACGAAUGGUAUGCUUGAAACUGUCAGAGUAUUCCUGGAUGGAGUUCGAAAUCUGGGCCACUCAACAUCAUCAACAACAACAAAGCCUAUAGUCUCGAUCAAGUUGGGAUAGGCUAGAUGUAAAACCCAUCAGAUCUUGCGACCAACUCAUAAUUUAGUAUUUCUGAGAGAUAAUCCUUGGCACUGCUGUCCUCCUAUGCGGUUUAUAUUUGAGUGGAAUGGAAUAUAUGAGUCCUUGUUAGAUGCACCGUUGUCUCACUUGUUGAAAAUGCUCUGAAGCGCGAAAUGGUUAACUGCUGAAGCAGCAAUUAUCUUCUGUGCGACGCGUUUCUUUUUUAAAAAAAAAAUAAGUAUAAAGAUGUACUAAAUCAGCGACAAUUAAUAUGAAUCAAAAUGAGUACGUAUAAUCCACCUGGCCAAGUAGGAAUAGAAGUACUAGAGAUAAAGAAAGAGGUGACAUCUAUCUAAUUUCCGAAUGGAAACACAAGACGGUGACCAAAUAGGAGAAUGGAGGUGGAUACAGGCUGGACCUUUUGGUAGGAGAUCCUUUCAGAGCUGAAUCAUGAGAUGGAUGGUGCAAAUUCCAAAUCAAGUAGUAGGUGGUGACUUUACACGUGAAAGAGGCGCAUGGCUGACAUGGAGCUGUGUAGGUGGCAAUAGCGAAGCACCGGCCUCCAUGACUUACUACUAGUCACGAUGGAUGAUCUUAGUUUCUCCCUACCUUAACAAUUAGCGAAAAGCCCUUUCGGAGAGUGAUCUUGCGGGGUUUUGGCCAAUCAGAGCCCUCGGUUUGUAGGCCUAUUCCCUUCUUCCUUUUCUUGAAGCGGAGGCAAAAGAUUUACACCUCAUAUGUAUGUUAAAAGGGGAAUGAUUGUGAAAUACAGGCCCCUCGAUACAAAAGGAUUAGUUCCGGAAAUGAUUGAUCGCAUUUUCUUUGCACCCAUGGCAAUCCAAAGACGAGCCUCGCCUUUGACGGAGCUGAGCAGGAUUGGCAGUAGGCUACACAUGUGGUGGAACAAGCGGGCGCUUUCAUUCCAAAUAGACCAACACAUGAGCAUGCGUGGUGAGGGAGGUCAUGUCCUUUCUAUUGGCGGUAGAGGAGUCGGACCGCUUGAUCCACCAAUCUUUGACGGAUCUCUUAUGGUGCCAAGAGGAGGUGUUGAUUCUCUCAAGGUGAAGCCAUUCGCCCGCCAGGCUCCAAAGACGUAUUGUGUAGUGACAUCUGAAGAAGAGGUGCUCUCCAUACUCUUACACCUGCUAGCAAAGAAUUUGGCCAGCUUCGGUUGGGCAAUCUAUCGGCGGUGCAAAGCCUAUCUUGGAUCGCCAAUCAUGUAAAGAACUUGACUUUUGGGGGUUCCAAUGUUUUCCAUAUACCACGUUCUCGAAGGGAUAUUAGAAGCUUCUUAGGUAUUGUGCUUCAUAGGCGGAGGUCGCAGAGUAUUGCUCAUCACUCAUGUGCUUCUAAACAAUCUCAUCCUCGGCAAGCUCCUCAAGGUGAAAGUCAUGAAUGGUUGUCCACAAGGUCAGAAAUUGAUGUAAGUACUCGAAAGUCAAGUUGGCGAAAAUCUUGAUCUUGGAUACCCGAGCAUUAUGGAAAAGGGCUGCUUUUUAUCUUCCUCAUUUUUUCUUGUUGAAGCUUGAUGGAUGGGAGGGGCAAUCUCCGUUGGCUUCCCAUUACUGGACCAUGUGCAUCCCAAAUGGGUGUCCCGGCACCAUUCCUAACGGUGAUACUGGUUGAUACAUAGAAGAGGUUACGGUCUUGCAUCCAUCCGAAACUUACAUCUGGACUAUCGUACUAUUUAAACAGGUCUCGUUGCUGGUCUCUAGACGAGGUGGUACUAAAGUUUGCCGAGAGCCAGAUCGUUACCGAGAGGCACCGUCGGCAAAGAAGUGUAACUAUGACCGCACCAUUAAUCACCAUUGGAUGUGCCACGUGGCAAAACUUUGCCGUGUGGUGGCUUCUUGGCUCUCAGCAUAUAUAUUUUUUUUUAGAAAAGGAGGUUAAACCCCCGGCCUCUGCAUCAAUCGGCGCAUGCAGCCAUUUUAUUAAUUAUUCCACAAAGGUCUAACAAGACUAUACAUCAGUCUACCCAAAGCCACCACUCACACCUACAAACUCGAGAAUGUAGAGUGCUCUCACUCCACAUAUCUAAGACCGGUGUUGUUUCUAAUCCAUCCACAUAACGUAUCGGGAACAACAGCCAGUGCAACACACCUAAAACGCACACCUCACGCACACGUUUUACCAGCCGUCAUCAUCCUCGAACCACUGACCCAUCUUCAGGAAAGAGAUCCGCAUCAUCCUUGCCAGUCCAAUCAUCUGUCGACGCCACCACGGCGCCCAACGGAUCCACCGUCCUGCGCUCAUCCGUCCAGAUGCGAAGACUUCGGAAGAUCUGUCGUGCGUAGCACCUGCCAACCAGGCAUGACUCAGCGUAGCACCUGUCGGCCAGGCAUGACUUGACAUCUCCACCGAAAUUCCAUACAAGACGAAGCCGCUCCACCUCCUGCCUCAGUCUGCCAGCGCUGCUCCACAAACGAUGCUUCCAAGAGAGAAACGACACCGCAAUACCGCCAUCGUCCGAUCUGGAAGACCAGAUCCUAGGGUUUCCCCCGAAGCAGUGCCCACCACCAGCAACCGUUCAGGACCCACACAGUGCCCACCACCGCUCAACCCUCAAGGCGACGCUUCAGGAAGGUCACGACAUCAAGGACGCCGCCGCCGCCCACCGGAGUUAGGGUUUUCACCCGAGAGGCAAGGAAGGUGAGCAGAGGAGCAGAUGUAUACCGACAUCUCCAAAAAGCAGAAAAACGGCGCCCUUGAGCGUCGUCGUCGGCGCGGCCGGCCUGGGCCAACCAAGGGGUUUCCCCCAAUCCGAAUCUCCUCCACCAGCUUCACACGCAGGUAGGGCCCCGGCAACCACGCUGGCACCCUAAGAUUCCGCAGGAGAGAAGCCCACAUAUCAGGACCUGGGGGCGCAGGUGGCGGUGCGGGCAGCGACCGGCGAAGGGGAACAACACACCUCCACAAUGACGCUUCCAAGAAAGAUAGCGGCACCCACGAGCGUCGCCGUCGUGACUUCGAUGAAGACCGGAGCAAGGAUUUCUCCCGGUGCUGUGCUGGAUAUCCACCGCCACGGACCGUUGAGCAUGGCCGCCACACCAUCACGACCCCCAGCCAAGGCCACUGCACCGCGCGCCCUGGACACUGCUCGUGCCCAGCCGACCAGCGCAGCCUCGCCCGGCUGCCGCUCUACCACCAGGGCCGAGUGCCCCGCCAGAUCCGGCCAUGGAGCCCUGGAUCCGCCCUCCGCCACUGCCGAUUGGCGAGAUCACAGCGCAUCCCGCAUCCGCCGACGCGAGGCGCCGCCGCCAGAGCCCGAGGGCCGAUGGGAGGGGCCCCGCCACCGCCAUCCCCGGGCGCGCGCGGCUUCGUCGGCGUCCCCUCCGGCAGCGGCGAAGCGGGAGGGGGCGGAGAUGGGGUCCGGUGUUCCUGCUGGAUGUGCCGCUAGUCGCCGGUGCGAGGAGGCGCUGGAGAAGGCUCGGUGUGAUUCGAGUCGCGCGCACGGGGACUUGAUCCUCAAUAAAUGGAAGAAAACUUCAUGUGCAUCACGUGUCAAUUCUAGAAAUUGAACUCGGGUCAUUGGGCUGCACAAACUCAUGCCCAACCACUGAGUCAAGGCUCUCUUUGCAUAUAGUGCCUUUGCCGAGUGUUUUAGCUUUGCCGAGUUCAACGCUCGGCAAUUUCAUGUGUUUGUCGUGAUGUGUCUGACACUCGGCGUAUACGAAAAUUCCACUGGUUUAUCAUAUACGAAUUGACCGCACAUCCAUCAUAAUUUAAAAACUUUAAUUGGUAAUAAAGUUGCAUCCCGUAAACAGUUAUGAACGAUUGAGCUUGGGAUAAUCAUCUGCACUUUUAUCACUCCAUGAUAAUGGAAACCGCACCGUGUCAGAUAUGAGGUGACCGAGAUGAGGCACAAAUACCAUUAGCUAGGAUCAAGAAGAAAAGCCAGGCAAAUAGUGUGGUAAUAAGCUAGUAGCUAUAGCAAGCUAGGCCGUCAACUCAAUCAGGUGUUAGGACAUAAAAUUACCUGACGGAGCUACAUGAUAGCCGGUCUUCAGAUAUCACGACUGGACCUGAUAUCUCACCCAUCCAGCAUUUAUUAGGCGACAUGACCGAGAAGAUACAAGUGUCGUGAAAGCUGCCGGCAGGAACAAAUGGGCAGUUCAAAUGCCAAUUUAUCCUACUAGUCAACUCGGUGCCCUUUUGGCCAAACUCUGAAAAUGCCGGCUCCACCCGAAAGGUAAUUCAGUUUCAGUGAUCGCAAACAGGAUCUGACACUCUGAGCAAAUAGUUAAGCGGUCAUUGCCAACGUCUCUUUUCGUAUCCUGUAGCAGCUAUUGCUUAUCUAGUAACCGCACUAUCUAAGGCGCAGCGUGUUAUUUGUUGGCGCUCACUGACGCCACUACAAACAGUCAUGAACGAAUCGCAAACAGUCGAGACCAUGGAUCGAUCGUUUCGGCGCCGGUGAUUGUCAAUCACGUACUAUUGUGUUUGUGACGGCGCCAGUGUUUGUCCUGCGGAUUAUGAUUCAUGUAGAAAUUUAGUGGAGAGUUUGUAUUUGUGACAGUGCGGAUUAUAUUGCGGAUUAUGAUUCAUGUAGAAAUUUUGGUGGAGAGUUUGUGUUUGUGACAGCGCGAGUGGCCAAUUUGGCGCCAUUUAGUGCUAUCUGUAGCUCGUUGCAUACAUAGUGGUUGAAGCUUCAUGGAUAGUGACCAGCCGAGUGCAGGACGUGACCAAAUGGCUAGCUAACUCAUGCAUCUCGAUCCAGUUUUUGCGGGCGGGCUAGGGUCCUCCUGUGACGACGCAGCGGCGGUGGCUUGCCGGAUUUGGCCGGUUUCGGCCGGGUCCGGCCCAUUAGCGUUCUGUUUAGUGGCGAGGUUUGAUGGCGACUCCUGCAUGGUCAUGGCGUGAUGGCUUAGUGGGAGGCGUGCGUGCUAGCGGAGAUGUUGUGCGUGGGGUUGUAGUGUUGGGAAGUGCUCCGGGCGAAAGCUUGUCGGGCAAAAUCUUGCCGGCCGACGGUGUCGGCGUCUCUGGAUGUUGUCUCACCUCCUUGGAGGUAUCGUUGAGAAAUUCUCUCCCUACACACCCUCGAAUCCAGUUCUUGGGGUGAAAACCUUAGGCUCGGUUGGGUCAAAUGACGGCGUCGGCAUCGUCGCUUCCUCCUUGGGGGUGUCGUCUUGAAGAGCUUUGGAUCUUGUUUGCACUCUCCAGGGGCUAGACGCUCACGACAUUGCGGUCGGCUGGGGUUCGUCCGGCAAUGUGGAUGAUCUGCACGGCUUCUUGUGGCAACGAUGGCUCCUUCAAGCGGAGUAGGAUUUGUUGUUGGGUUCUGUUAGUCGGUCUCAUCCGGUGUGUUCGAGGGGUCGCCGUGCCUCUCUUAUCUUCUGAAGUUGGAGAUGUUUGAGGAGGAACCUUGCGGCGACGAUGACGUGAAGACGGGUGGUCCGUUCUGGCGCUGGCUCGGCGCAGGUCCAGUACUUUUUAUCCUAUAAUGCUCGUCCGCUGAGUCGAAGCUGCCCGGUCAUCGGCGUGUGUGGUGGACUGUUUGGCGUUGUCCGACGCAGGCCUCUACGCACGUCUGCGGUCGGGGCUUCAUCGGUGGUCGUCGAUGGUGAAGUUGGAGUCGCCCUCGCGGAGGAGUGAUGAUGAUGACGCCGGAUUACAACCUUGGCGGAGCUCUUCCCCUUGGCGGCGUGUGUGCGUUCUUGCAUAGGUUGCCAGGUCGCCCUGUGUGUUUUGAUAUGUCAGCGCAUUGUGACGGUUUUAGCCCGGUUUUUUGAUUAUUAACCGGACAACUUUCUUAGACUUCUUUAAUAAAAUCAGUACCUAAAGGACCGCGUUUUAAAAAAGAAUAGACAUAGUGUUGGUGCUAUAUGAUCCUACUGUGUUUAUAUAUUAUCAUUUUACCAUCUUUUUUAUUGUUUUUAUUUGACUGUGUACACCUUAGCUAUGUAAAAACAGGAUGUUGGUCAUCAUGUUUUAUAUCCAUUUAAUGUUACAUUUUAAAUUAAUAAAUUGCUUUUCUAAUUCAAAAACGAAAUAAUAAGAACAUCUUGACGAUGUACAUGCAUGAAUCAUGGACAUAAUUGAUCUAGGAAGACUGCCAUAUGAAACAGUGUAGAUGUUGGCCACUUGGCCGUGAGCGCGGGAUCACCCUUCCGUACGUGUCCCAAACAGAAUUAGAAUUAGGGCUCCUUUGAUACAAAGGAUUUUAUUGGAUUUUUGGAGGAUUUGGAUCCUUAGGAUUUUUUCCUAUGAUGGUUGUUUGAUUCGUAGGAUUGAAAUCCUUUGGAAUUUUUUCAUAGGAUUCGUUUGUAGAAUUCUUUUGUUUUUUCUGUGCUAUCAAACAGACUUCUAAAUCUUAUAGUGUAAAAAAAGACAUGUCACUCUAUUCCUACGUUUUUCUUAUUCCUGCUCGUACGAAUCAAAGAGGCCCUUAGUUAGCUAGGCGAGCAAGCUGCCGUUGCCGUUGCCGUUGCGAGAGGCAGGCAAUCAAAGGGGCAGCGUGUUAUUUAUUCGUUGGCCCUCACAGUGGCCAAUGUGGUGCCGUUUAGUGCUGUCUGUAGCUCGUUGCGUGCGUGUGGUUGAAGCUUAGCCGAUAGUGAUCAGCGAACAUCAGUACAUGACAAUGAGUGCGCUUUACAGAUGGAUGGCUAGCUAGCUGAUGCAUCAUGCUAAUUAAUCAAGAGCACUUACUCUAUUAUGAGAGGGAGACGUACAUGAUUAAUCAUGCACAUGAUUGAUGUAGGAAGACCGCCAUCUGAACCGUGGGUUUCACAUCCAGCGCUCACGGUGAAGCCGGCCCCAGAUCAAUCGAGUCGGCCCUGUCUAAAAAGCAAGCACUAGCAUUUGGAAGGCUACCUGGUUUUGAAAGGAAAUUUGAUGAGAUCAGUUUGAAGCAGACAUGGAAUGAGACGUACGGCCGGGCGUCAAUCAGAGGGAAGGAUUGAUCAUUUUUUAUUAAAAGAAUGGUGAGAAUAAUUCAUGCGCGUCGCCGCCGGCCGGACAUGGACAACAUCUGCAAACAACAUUGUGAGUCAUGCUCGAACCGAUCGGACGGCAAGUGGUCAAUAUACGUAGCAGCAAAUAACGAAGUUUCUGUAUAAACGGACGAACGAUGAGUACGUAUACGUAAUACCUGACGCGAGUGUGUAUGGCUUGUUAUUGUUGGUCGCGCAUGAAUGAAUGCGAGGAGGGAAAGACGUGCGGCUCUCUCCCUUCAAUUCCCCAGCAACCAACAAAACCGGCAGACUCGCACGCAGCCACAUGCGACAAAUUUCACUGUUUUGAUCUUUUUACGAAAGUUCAGUCAAAUUUGACCUCGGUUGGAAAAAUAAAAUCGGAUCGAACCCUUUUGCUAUCGACGGGGACCUUAACGAUAGGGUACAACAACCUACCGCCAAGGCCCUUGACGGUAAAAAAAUGACCUGCCAUCAAAGAGGCUGCCGGUAGCGCAUGUGACCCUACCGCCAAGGGAUCCGACGAUAGGCACUCGAGCGUAUUGGAUCUGCAACUUAGAAAUCUUUUUACAGUAGGUGUGCAACCCUACCGUCAGGGGCCUUGACGGUAGGUUGUUAUAACCUACCGUCAGGGGCCUUGACGGUAGGUUGUUAUAACCUACCGUCAAGGACUCCGACGCUAGCAAAAGGGUUAUAUUUGUGCAAAAAAGAAGAAGAGAGAAAAAAAAGGGUUAUGUUUGAAAAAAAAUUACCAGCCGGGAUGAGAUCGGGCUAAACUUACGUAAAAAGGUCAAAACAUGAAUUUUUGCCGCCACAAGCUUGCUUUCGUACGUUCGCACCAGGAUCACCCUCGCUGGCAGGAAUGGAAACUUCUUCCUCCAAACAGACUUUCACCCCGCUUUAUACAUAAAGCAAAGAACCGCGGUACACGUCCAAACGAUACAAUAUGGUGGAAGGUCCCCUUACAUAGUAGAUCAAAAAAAUACAACAUAAGCUUAGAGCAAGCCUAACACCUUCCCAAAGCCCGAACAAAGAUCCCUGAGCUCAGUAGAUAAAGUUUUUACCGUGAGCCUAACACCUUCCCGAAGCCCGAACAAAGCCGAACACCUUCCCGAAGCCUGAACAAACGCCCCAAGGAGGGUGACGACGCCGAGUCUGAGAAUAGAUAAAGUUUUCACCGUGAGCCUUGGUACAGGAUGGAGGUCCGCUACGCCGUCUUUAAGAAACAAGCGGCACCCACGGACGUCGCCGGCGCCGGUGCCAGAAGCUCGGAGCUUUCACUCAGACACGCGCAUGCACCACUAAGAGGAGCGCAGACCGCCACCUCGAUGAUGGCCAACUUGCCCACCUCUCGAUCUGGGCACUUGCAUAGCAGACCAAGGCCGCCCGCCACUCCAAUCCUAGUCGCCCACACGAGAGAUGGAGCAACUGUUGGAAAUAUGCCCUAGAGGCAAUGAUAAAAUAGUAAUUAUUAUAUUUUCUGUUUCAAGAUAAUCGUUUAUUAUCCAUGCUAUAAUUGUAUUGAAUGAGAACAUAAAUGCAUGUGUGCAUAUAUAGACAAAACAAUGUCCCUAGUAAGCCUCUAGUUGACUAGCCAGUUGAUCAAGGAUGGUUAAGGUUUUCUGACCAUAUGCAAGUGUUGUCACUUGAUGACUGAAUCACAUCACUAGGAGAAUGAUGUGAUGGACAAGACCCAAACUAUAAACGUAGCAUGUGAUCGUGUCAUUUUAUUGCUAUUGUUUUCUGCGUGUCAAGUAUUCAUUCCUAUGACCAUGAGAUCAUGUAACUCAUUGACACCGGAGGAAUACCUUGUGUGUAUCAAACGUCGCAACAUUAAUGGAUGACUAUAAAGGUGCUCUACAGGUAUCUCCGAAGGUGUCCGUUGAGUUAGCAUGGAUCAAGACUGGGAUUUGUCACUCCGUGUGACGGAGAGGUAUCUCGGGACCCACUCGGUAAUACAACAUCACAUAUAAGCCUUGCAAGCAAUGUGACUAAAGUGUUAGUCACAUUUUGUAUUACGGAACGAGUAAAGAGACUUGCCGGUAACGAGAUUGAAAUAGGUAUAGGGAUACCGACGAUCAAAUCUCGGACAAGUAACAUACCGAAGGACAAAGGGAAUGGUAUACGAGAUUAUAUGAAUCCUUGACACAGAGGUUCAACCAAUAAGAUCUUCGUAGAAUAUGUAGGAUCCAAUAUGGACAUCCAGGUCCCGCUGUUGGAUAUUGACCGGGGAGUGUCUCAGGUCAUGUCUGCAUAGUUCUCGAACCCGCGGGGUCUGCACACUUAAGGUUCGGUGACGUUUCGGUAUAGUUGAGUUAUAGGUGUUGGUGACCAGAGGUUGUUAGGAGUCCCGGAUGAUAUCACGGACGUCACGAGAGUUUUUGAAAUGGUCCGAAAACGAAGAUUGAUAUAUAGGAUUGUUUCAUUUAGGUCAGAUCCAGCAAGAGAGAUGGAGAAAUAGAUGAGACGAGGAUGACACACGACCUGCACCCCAUGCCAGGGCCAAAUCCAACCAGGCUUGGCUGGAUCUGACCCGAGGAUGGCACGCGUGAAACCACCAGGGACGCUGAGUAGAGGCGAGCUUAGACCCAGCAACCACCCGCGGACCACCCCUCGAGCCCCGCAUGAAGCCGGGCCGCCUGAGUCGACUACCAAACCGGAAUGGCCCGAUCUAGCACAGGACCCGGACACAUCCCCAUCGCCCACAGCCCCUUCACGCCACCGCCGGCACCCAGUGCCUUCGCCAUCGCUGUUGUUGCCGUGCCGCCACGCCCUAUGUCCGCGCAACAGCACCGCCCGAACCCGUCAGCCCGCGCCGACCGGUCCCAAGUGGCUGGUAGAAAAGAGCCCCGCCGUUGUCGAUGCUGGCCGGGCUUCGCCGGUCAGCACGUCGAGGCGGCGGCGAGGGGAAGGCCUGGGCCAGCGCCCCUCGAAUACAGGCUCACGGGAAUAAAAACUUCAAUCAAUAAAACGGAGCUGCCCAGAACUAUUUCCUAUACAUCUAAUGCAAAAUUCUACGCCCAUCAGAGUGAUGGGAAUAGAGGUCAACUUGCUGAUGAAUCUGUAACACUAAUGCCACGACGACUGCAUCUGAUAAAUCAUUCUUAUACGGGUUCCGUGUUUCAAGCAGGCAGGCAGCUGUUCGUCACCCAACACAUGAGUGCAACAGGACGUAGUAUACAGAAAAGUGACCAAGGAUAUGGACAGUUUAUCUGAUAUAAGAAAGAAGGAAAGAACGAAAAAAGUCCAAAGGCCACGAUAAAAAAAGCUUGUGGUUGUGCUAUCGUUCACUUUCUUAUUCACGCAAAGACAGGCUGACGCUUACGUUUUUUUUUUUUCCUUUCUUCUCUGUAUCUUCUUUCUCUCGCCUCCGUCAGAUUCAUCUCGUUUUCCAUCAAAUCUAUGACGAACGGAAAAGCUACCUCCGGCUACGCAAGAGCUGGAACCGACAAAUGGAGGAGCUUCUGUAGAAAACGGAGUUUCUGUAGAAAACAGACGAAUGAUGAGUAUGUAUACGCAAUAGUACGUGACGCAAGUACUUAUGGCAGGCGCUGUAUUCUUGAGUGUUGGUUGCACCCCGGCUUGUUAAUGGCCGGUAGAUGGAGGAGCUGCAAACAACAAGACGGCGGGGGACGGGUAAUCCCAUGACCAGCAGAUGAGCUUGCUGCAUGAGGACCUGCAGGAUGGUUUCGCGACAAUCAUGCAGGCAGGCAGGUAGGCAGCUGUUGGUCACACAACACAUGAGUGCAACAGGACGUAGUACACAGAAAAGUGACCAAAGAUAUGGACAGUUUAUCUUAUGUACUCCAAAGGCCACGAUAAACAAAAGCUUGUGGUUGUGGAUAGGAAGAUAACUCUCCACCAUUCGUAUGCAUGUUUUGUGGUUCAGGCUCGCCUUGUGCAACUAAGAAAAAAAGACAAUAACAACAAGUCUGAGAAAUCAUUCGUAUGUUGGUAUAUUUUGGAAGGAAAAAAAAUAACCCCAUACAAGGCUUAUAUUUUGAAACGGUGGGAGUAUUGCUCAUGCCUCCCUCGGUAGCACGAAAGUGAGGCAAAUAUUUAAAAGACCCUGACACAUCUACUUGGCACCUCGAGAACUCUAUUAAGGCUGGUCACAAUGGGGAGUAACAUAAGGUAGGAACCUACACACUUUUCUAGACUAUGUUCCUACCUCCACAAUGGGAAGUAACAUAUAUGUAGUGUCAUGCAACAAUGCAUUUAUUAGGCUAUAGACUCAUUGUUUGUUGGAGUGUGUGAUGUUCCGAUAACUUAGCUAGUUACCACAAGCACCUCUCUCUUCAUUAAAUAUGUGCCACAUAAGCAAAGUUGUAUUGGAGUGUGUGAUGUUACUGUUAAGUUCCUCCCCAUUGUGACCAGCCUAAGACUAGUCAUAGUGGGGAGUAACUAAGUAGUAACAUCAACGCCACGUGGGCAAAAAAUCUGACGUGGCAAGUAUUUAAUGUGGAGAGAGAUGGUAGUGGUAACAUAGCUAGUUACCAUCACAUCACAUAUUUCAAUGCACUAUGUGUCUACAACCUAAUAAAUGUUUGUUUGCAUGACACCACAUGUAUGUUACUCCCCACUAUGAAGAUAGUAACAUAGACUAAUAACAACAUCAUGUUACUAUUCUUAGUUACUCCCCACUAUGAGCAGCCUAAGGAGUGAUGGGUAAAUACUCACAUGCGGUACACCAUUAAUGGAAUGGACCGAAUUCAAUGGAGUAGAUCAAACAAGAGCACAUCCAACCGAAAGUCAUGGCCUUCCUCACCACAUUAAUGGAAUGGACCAUUGGAACGAACGGAACGCCUAAAUACCGAGAGUGUGCCUAUAUACCGUAGAAUUCCUUCUCGACGUUUGGUACCUAUAAACCGGAAGGGAGGGAGGACGUAGGAACUGAAUGGAUACACCACCGCCGCCUUUUGUGCUAACUAUGUGGUCGUACUCCAUGCAUCCCCAUCCGGCCGCUAUAAGUUGAGCAGCACACAGCAGCGGCCUCCCCUGAGUUCCAAGUCCGUAGAGAGCACUCCCAUCCCAUGGCGUCUGGACAACCGGCCGUGCAGGUACACCAUCUGGCCUCCAUUGAAUUCGGUUGCUCACAUGCUGUCACAUUUUUUUGACGUACCUCGUCUCUCUUGGGUCUGCUGCAUGCAGACCUUGGUUCUGAGGGUUUCCAUCCACUGCCAUGGCUGCAAGAAGAAGAUCCGCAAGGUGCUCAAGAGCAUCCAAGGUACGUACCUAGCUAGCGUCAGUCACUCUCUUCUUUCAUCCUCCUUCUCCUCGCGGGCUUAUGAUUAACUAAUUAAGUGGUCGAUCGUCGUUCAGGCGUGCAGGACGUGGAGGUAGAUGCCCAGCAGCACAAAGUGAUGGUGACGGGCACCGUGGACGCCGAGACGCUCGUCAAGAGGCUCUGCAAGUCUGGCAAGCAGGCACUGCCAUGGCAACACGAGCCCGCCGCGCCUGCCAAGAACCCCGAGGCCUCACCGCCGGCCACUCCGGCUCAGGACGGCGGCAAGGACGAUGCUGCUGCGGCGGCGGACAAGAAGCCAGCGGAGCCUGUGAAGGAGCCGCAGGCCGACGACAGCUCGGACAAGAAGCCGGAGCAGGAGGAGACGGCCCCGGAGAAGACGCCUCAGACGGACGAGGAAGCAGAGUCUGAGAAGAAGGAGGCUGAGAAAGAGGAGGCGAAAGCAAGCGACGAGGCAAAGGAAGACGCCGGCGACGGCGAGGGCCCAGCGGCCGAGCCCAAGGCAAAGGAGGACAUAAAGGACGCCGGCAGUGACGAGGGUGAGGCCAGGAAGAAACAGAGCAAGCCCGACGCCGCACCCGCCGCCGACAGGUCCCUCUCUCCGGCGCCGGAGCACGCGCACCAGGAGUUCAGCCCGUACAACGCGCCGCAGCCGGUGAUGAGCUACCACACGGCGCAGCCGGGAACGAGCGUGUCCUACUACGCGCCGCAGCCGGAGCAAGGCUACACCAUGCGGCAGCAGCCCGGGUACUCCUCCGUCAUGCAGCCGCGGCACCCACCGACGGCGCCGCAGCAGCAAUGGUCGCCGUCGUACCUUUACAUGCCGUACCCGCACGCGUCGCCGGAGUCGUACUACCAGGACUACUACAGCCCGCCGGGGACGCACGCGCCGCCACCACCUCCGGCGCCGCUCCAGGACUCGUAUCGCCUGCUCGACGACGAGAACCCCAACUCGUGCAGCGUCAUGUGAUUUUUUCACCGACACGUACGGCGUACGGCACAGCGCGGCUCCGGCUAGCCACCGGCGGCAGAGUAGCUAAGAAGACGGCUUCGUAAUAUAUAGAGACCUCUCUGGUUGUAGCUAGAGUAGCUUGUUACCUCUUCCACGAUUGGGAGGUCAAAGCUCUCCUUGUUCCUCUUCUUUUUUAUUAUUGUUAUUACUGUUCUAAAUGUAUAGAGCAUGUAAUUGUGGUGGAUUGACGGACGUAUUCAGACGUGUCUACGAGUCUUUAUAUCCUUAUCACAUUUGUUCUUGAUAUAAGGGUUCGCUGACAACCUCAACGUAAGUGAAUGAUAUGGGCAAUCCGAUUCCAUAACUCGAGUUGCCCCCAAGUCAUAAUUUACUCUUUAGAUAAGGCCCAACCAAUCACCUCUCCAUUUUGCCACCGAUGAUGCUGGCACAAUGAUAAAUCUUAAUUGUUUAGUGCGAUAGCCCAGCAGUUGAAUUUAAGCUGGUGAUUGGGAUGAGGCCUAGCUGGCCGGUUUGUCUGUAGGCUUUUGAAUAUAAUUAAGCAAGUGGGUUGCUGG
This 22328-nucleotide long non-coding RNA is filed under the name Hordeum vulgare. Its description in RNAcentral is "long non-coding RNA (HVUL_LNC020661)". The stretch from base 1468 to 1600 matches the Rfam family "MIR1120/MIR1122 microRNA precursor family". Lineage: Eukaryota; Viridiplantae; Streptophyta; Magnoliopsida; Poales; Poaceae. The record is from RNAcentral.